Molecule: ribosomal RNA, 253 nt
Filed under: uncultured bacterium
Lineage: Bacteria
Description: partial 16S ribosomal RNA
Rfam family: Bacterial small subunit ribosomal RNA
Source: RNAcentral
UACGUAGGGCGCAAGCGUUGUCCGGAAUCAUUGGGCGUAAAGAGCUCGUAGGCGGCCUGUUGCGUCCGCUGUGAAAUCCCGGGGCUUAACCCCGGGCGUGCAGUGGAUACGGGCUGGCUGGAGGCAGGCAGGGGAGAACGGAAUUCCCGGUGUAGCGGUGAAAUGCGCAGAUAUCAGGAGGAACACCGGUGGCGAAGGCGGGUCUCUGGGCCGAUACUGACGCUGAGGAGCGAAAGCGUGGGGAGCGAACAGG